Molecule: ribosomal RNA, 440 nt
Filed under: uncultured bacterium
Lineage: Bacteria
Description: partial 16S ribosomal RNA
Rfam family: Bacterial small subunit ribosomal RNA
Source: RNAcentral
CCUACGGGAGGCAGCAGUGGGGAAUAUUGGACAAUGGGGGCAACCCUGAUCCAGCGACGCCGCGUGAGUGAAGAAGUAUUUCGGUAUGUAAAGCUCUAUCAGCAGGGAAAUAAAUGACGGUACCUGACUAUGAAUCCCCGGCUAACUACGUGCCAGCAGCCGCGGUUAUACGUAGGGGGCAAGCGUUAUCCGGAUUUACUGGGUGUAAAGUGAGCGUAGACGGUGCAGCAAGUCUGAUGUGAAGGGUCGGGGCCCAACCCCGGGACUGCAUUGGAAACUGUUGAACUGGAGUACAGGAGAGGUAAGCGGAAUGCCUAGUGUAGCGGUGAAAUGCUUAGAUAUUAGGAGGAACUCCAGUGGCGAAGGCAGCUUACUAGACUGUAACUGACGUUGAGGCUCGAAAGCGUGGGGAGCAAACAGGAUUAGAUACCCGUGUAGUC